GUGAGUCUCUACCAAUAUCCGGUGUAACCAGGCUGCUCUACACAACCCGCAGAAUGCUGCUCUCUAAAUCAACUGGAAUAAACUUCCCACAAACCUAAAGUAGCCCACUUGUUCCUUAUAACUCCACCAUUGCAUACUCAGAAGUCAACUUUGAGAAGAACAGUCUCCUUUCAGCAUAUAAUGGAUGCAAUUUGUUAUAUAAAAGCAAGAAAGAAUUUAGUUAUGUGAAUGACAAUGAACUGAAUCAGAAUGCCAUCCUAAAGAUACAUGAUUUAGAUAACAAUCCAAAAUGAAAUAUACUGCAUGGAUACAUCUGGAGUGCAAAGUUAGAAUCAGCCUCAUUAUGCCUCUGCCCUCCAAACAAGCACAACUUUUCUAAUAAAACUAAAUUAUUGGGCCUACUGUUUUUCAAAUGGGAUAUAGAUGACAGAUGGAUCAACAGAUUAAUAAAGA
Oryctolagus cuniculus (rabbit) is the source of this 453-nucleotide non-coding RNA. The record is from RefSeq and is a predicted model, not a curated record. NCBI's taxonomy places the organism in Eukaryota, Metazoa, Chordata, Mammalia, Lagomorpha, Leporidae.